AUGGGAAUUCUCCUGCCCCAAAGCUCCCUCCCAGCAGCAGGGUCGGGAGGUUUCCCUGGGGCAGGGAAAAGGGCGAGCUCACAAAGCCAAAGGUGUGGGAGCUCCAGGAUCCUUUGGGCAGGAGGGGGGCCAGGGCUUGGUGGGGCAGGGAGACCCCGAUCCCAACCCCACUCUCGGCUGAGGGCUGGGAGGAGAUGCAGCACUGGGAGAUAUCCACAGAAAUCAGUUUAUUUCCCUGCCGUCGGGAUUAUGAAACCACAGAAGCAGAGUUUAAAUAUUUACAAAGAAAUCCAGCGCCCCGCAGAGAUGAAGGGAACAAAGGAUGAGGGAUGGGGGCUCGCCCUCGCCAUUCCAAACUCCGCUCUGGUAAAAAGCGUCGGGAGCAAACGAGAGGGACCUUCACAGUGGGGAUUUGGAACUCCAGGGGCCCCCCGACACCCCCAAGUCUCAGCUUUGGCAAUUCUCGCAGAGCUCGUGGAUAAAACACAGACGGGAGGGCUCGGGGUUAUUGCUGAGGGUGGCUCCGGCCCCGGGGCCGGCACUCCAAGGAAUCGCUCUGAAAUCAGCACAAGGGAAAGCUCUGCCCUCUCCCAGCCCUGGGCAGCGCUCCCUGAACGCUCCGUGCUUUCAUCCCCAUUCUCUCUGAUCGGGAUUUCAGUGCCCCAGCGCCUCCAUCCCUGCUCUGAGCACGGGAGGGGAAGGGAGGGACUGCACAGAGCAGCUCCAGGCUGGGGGGCAAGGCCACGACGCGGUGACACAGGGACAGUAAUGAGCAGCAGGUGUGAGGGGUGGUUUAAAAGUGACCAAGGAAAAAGGAAAAGCACAGAAACGAGCUUGAGGAGGCUCCAACCCUCCCACAAGGCUGGAGGAGUAGGGGAACAGCACAUGGGGAGGGGUCUGAGAACCAGUGGGCUGACAGCAAGUGAGUGGGCUCUGCAGUCAGAGGAAGCUGCAGCCAUGGCAGGGACCCCAGGAAAGCUUUCCUGCUGGCCACAAGCACUCCCUGAAAUGCAUUCCUUAGAACCCUCAGGUACUGGGUAA
RNAcentral lists this long non-coding RNA (1041 nucleotides) under Junco hyemalis (dark-eyed junco). RNAcentral describes it as "lncRNA (ENSJHYG00000004437.1)". Lineage: Eukaryota; Metazoa; Chordata; Aves; Passeriformes; Passerellidae. The record is from RNAcentral.